Branchiostoma belcheri (Belcher's lancelet) is the source of this 492-nucleotide long non-coding RNA. RefSeq lists it as uncharacterized. NCBI's taxonomy places the organism in Eukaryota, Metazoa, Chordata, Leptocardii, Amphioxiformes, Branchiostomatidae. The transcript is spliced from 3 exons. The record is from RefSeq and is a predicted model, not a curated record.
AUACACAUACCAUAUAUAGUAACUACUUACUAACGGUGACCACCGUUAUAUAGUAACUAAUAAGCUAAGAGGCUCUCUUCACCUCCUAGGAUGUGACCGUUAUUAGUAACCUCACUGCUUUACUAUAGAAAAUAAACGGUCGGGUGUAGUCCUCGCGAGAGUUGUAAAAUCCGUCGCGAGAUAAUGCGAGACUAGACUUGCGGUUGGUUGCCGGCUUGGCUGAAAUGGACGACAGACGGGACGGCCUGGCGAUUUAUAUUUUCUCUUCAUCUCUACUCUGACCUGGACCAAUUCCUGGACCAUUUAUAGGCUACAUAUUCUGCAGUACGCCGAAGCAGAGGAAAUGGCAGCGGGUAGGAUUAAGAGUCGCAGCAUGCAAUACUGGGGAACCAGAAGGAGUCCCAAUGGAACCGCUUCACAUGCUGAUGUACAAGGGACUUAAACUGGGCUUCUAGUAGUUUUCUUUGCCCCAGGCCAUGGAGGAGUACCCGG